RNAcentral lists this ribosomal RNA (253 nucleotides) under uncultured bacterium. Its description in RNAcentral is "partial 16S ribosomal RNA". It matches the Rfam family "Bacterial small subunit ribosomal RNA", at positions 524 to 776 of the family's 1533-position model. The record is from RNAcentral.
GACGUAGGGUGCAAGCGUUGUCCGGAUUUAUUGGGCGUAAAGAGCUCGUAGGCGGCUCGUCGCGUCGGCCGUGAAAACCUAGGGCUUAACCCUGGGCUUGCGGUCGAUACGGGCGGGCUAGAGUUCGGUAGGGGAGACUGGAAUUCCUGGUGUAGCGGUGAAAUGCGCAGAUAUCAGGAGGAACACCGGUGGCGAAGGCGGGUCUCUGGGCCGAUAUUGACGCUGAGAAACGAAAGCGUGGGGAUCAAACAGG